Molecule: ribosomal RNA, 255 nt
Filed under: uncultured bacterium
Lineage: Bacteria
Description: partial 16S ribosomal RNA
Rfam family: Bacterial small subunit ribosomal RNA
Source: RNAcentral
GACAGAGGUGCCAAGCGUUUAGGCGGAAUCACUGGGCUUAAAGCGUGUGUAGGCGGGCGAUCAAAGUACCUUGUGAAAUCCCACGGCUCAACCGUGGAACUGCUGGGUAUACUGGUUGUCUUGAGCCAGCUAGGGGCGAGCGGAACAGACGGUGGAGCGGUGAAAUGCGUAGAUAUCGUCUGGAACGCCGAAGGUGAAAACAGCUCGCUGGGGCUGCGCUGACGCUGAGACACGAAAGCCAGGGGAGCGAACGGG